GUGGGUAGUUUGACUGGGGCGGUCUCCUCCCAAAGCGUAACGGAGGAGCACGAAGGUUAGCUAAUCCUGGUCGGACAUCAGGAGGUUAGUGCAAUGGCAUAAGCUAGCUUGACUGCGAGCGUGACGGCGCGAGCAGGUGCGAAAGCAGGUCAUAGUGAUCCGGUGGUUCUGAAUGGAAGGGCCAUCGCUCAACGGAUAAAAGGUACUCCGGGGAUAACAGGCUGAUACCGCCCAAGAGUUCAUAUCGACGGCGGUGUUUGGCACCUCGAUGUCGGCUCAUCACAUCCUGGGGCUGAAGUAGGUCCCAAGGGUAUGGCUGUUCGCCAUUUAAAGUGGUACGCGAGCUGGGUUUAGAACGUCGUGAGACAGUUCGGUCCCUAUCUGCCGUGGGCGCUGGAGAAUUGAGGGGGGCUGCUCCUAGUACGAGAGGACCGGAGUGGACGCAUCACUGGUGUUCGGGU
Molecule: ribosomal RNA, 461 nt
Filed under: Klebsiella pneumoniae
Lineage: Bacteria; Pseudomonadati; Pseudomonadota; Gammaproteobacteria; Enterobacterales; Enterobacteriaceae
Description: partial 23S ribosomal RNA
Rfam family: Bacterial large subunit ribosomal RNA
Source: RNAcentral